This 471-nucleotide ribosomal RNA is filed under the name uncultured Alphaproteobacteria bacterium. RNAcentral's name for it is "bacterial SSU rRNA". It matches the Rfam family "Bacterial small subunit ribosomal RNA", at positions 9 to 524 of the family's 1533-position model. Lineage: Bacteria; Pseudomonadati; Pseudomonadota; Alphaproteobacteria. The record is from RNAcentral.
GAGUUUGAUCGUGGCUCAGAACGAACGCUGGCGGCAUGCCUAAUACAUGCAAGUCGAACGCUCGUAGCAAUACGGGAGUGGCGGACGGGUGAGUAACGCGUGGGAACCUGCCCAGUGGUAGGGAAUAACCGCGGGAAACUGCGGCUAAUACCCUAUGAGCCCUACGGGGGAAAGAUUUAUCGCCAUUGGAGGGGCCCGCGUCGGAUUAGCUAGUUGGUGGGGUAACGGCCUACCAAGGCGACGAUCCGUAGCUGGUCUGAGAGGAUGAUCAGCCACACUGGGACUGAGAUACGGCCCAGACUCCUACGGGAGGCAGCAGUAGGGAAUAUUGGACAAUGGGCGAAAGCCUGAUCCAGCAAUGCCGCGUGAGUGAAGAAGGCCUUAGGGUUGUAAAGCUCUUUCGGCGGGGAAGAUGAUGACGGUACCCGCAGAAGAAGCCCCGGCUAACUUCGUGCCAGCAGCCGCCGUAAG